UGCUCCUGCCCCAGGAGGAGGCCCAGCACACAGAGGGGAAGGACAGCAGAGCUCACACAUCAGACAGCAGUGCUUGUGGGUGUUUCUGGAGUGGAAACUCUUCUCACAGAGGCAGGGAUGAAGCAGACUGAAGACACCAUGGAGCCCUCCUCAGCCCCUGCCCACAGAGGGCACGUCCUCUGGCAGAGGGUCCUGCUGGCAGUCUCACUCUUAACCUUCUGGAACCUGCCCACUACUACCCCACUCACUACUGAAUCAGUGCCCAUCAACGCUGCAGAAGGGACGGAUGUUCUUCUACUUGUCUACAAUGUGACACAGAAUAUUCAAGGCUAUGGCUGGUUCAGAGGAGAAAAAGUAGAAAACAGCCAACAAAUUGCAUCAUAUAUAGUAAGCUCUCAAGCAAAUGUACCAGGGCCUGCAUACAGCGGCCGAGAGACGAUAUACGCCAAUGGGUCUCUGCUGUUCCAGAAUGUCUUUCAGAACGACACAGGAUACUACACUAUACUUGUUACAACGGAUAAGUUUAUCUCUGAAGCAGCAUCUGGACAACUCCGAGUAUUCCCGAAGUUACCCACACCCAUCAUCACCAGCAACAACUCGAACCCCCUGGAGCACGAGGACACGGUAGUGUUAACAUGUGAACCUGAGACUCAGAACACCACCUACAUGUGGUGGAUCAACAAUCAGAGCCUCCCUGACAGCACCAGGCUGGAACUGUCCAAGGACAACAGAACUCUCACUUUACUCCAUGUCACAAGGAAUGACACUGGACCUUAUGUGUGUGAAACCCAGAACCCAGUGAGUGCCGGCCGCAGUGACCCAUUCACCCUGAAUGUCCUCUACCCAGUGGCACAGCCCUCCAUCCAAGCCAGCAACACCACUGUCACAGAAUAUGAGGAUACCGUGUUCCUGACCUGUCUUACAAAUGACACUGGGAUCUCCAUCUCCUGGCUCUUCAAUGGCCAGAGUCUAUUGCUCACAGAGAGGAUGAAGCUGUCCCAGGGCAACAGCACCCUCACCAUACACCCUGUCAGGAGGGGGGAUGCCGGGAAUUAUCAGUGCCAGGUCUCCAACCUGGGCUAUUCCAGCAAGAGUGACGUCCUCAGCCUGGAAGUGAAAUAUGAUUCAACACAAGGAAGUUCUUCUGGCCUCUCAGAUGGUGCUAUUGCCGGCAUCGUGAUUGGAGCUGUGGCUGGGGUAGCUCUGAUAGCAGCCAUGGUGUAUUUUCUGUAUGUCAGAAAUACUGGAAGGUAUGAUGCCUUUCCUCUCGUUCCACUUUCUCCAAGGCUAACUGCCACGCUUGGGAGAGGGAAGGAGACUUCAUCUCUGUGUCUGGCCUGGAUCGGCUCCUCAUUCUUCCUAAAGCUCUGCUUCCCAGCACUAAUUCCUGCGGGUCUCUUCUUCCCUGGUGGUCAUGCUUCCCCUACCCUACUCUCUCUCGGACAUGGUUAUUCCCAUCCCCAUCUGGUUUAGAGGGGUGAGAGCCAUUGUGUUCUUCUGUCUCCAGUCAGGGAAGCCAAGAUCCAAUAAGGAAAACUAAUGAGGAAAUGAAAGGAGAAGCGGGAGGAAGGGAGUCACAUGCCCAGUGGACAAUAGUAGCAGGAGGGGACUGGGGGAUAGGACAGGAAGAGAACCUAAGAAAAGCAGACACAACGAAAGGCCUCUUAGGCAAUAAAUAAAGUGAGAAAUAACCAGCAUCUUCCUACAAAAGGGGAAAGGUGUCAGGGUAGAAACAGGCUCAGAAACAGUUGUAUAGGUCACCCAAAACGUGAAGGGCCAGCAAACAGGGAACAAGUAAACACUAGCAGGGAUCAUACAUAGAUUGAAGAAGGAGGGCCUGAGAGGAAAGAGUACUGACCAAGGAAUAAAUGAACACUGAGGAGCCCCAAGGGAUCAUGCUGACAGUGUCCUUCCUAAUUCAAGGAGCAAAGAUCCUAUGCCUGGGAAUAACAGCAUCUGGUAUUUAUUUAGGGCAAGUGACCAGCAUGAUCUCACACAGCACAAAUCCUCAGACUCCAACCACAGUAAGUAAACCCACUUACCCAGUGAGAGCUGGUAUGUUCUACCAUGUGCCCUGCCCUAGCAGGGAAUCCUGGAUUUCCAAAUGAUCCGUACCUUCUGAAUUUUCAGAGGGUAUCUCCAUGUCCCAACCUUAAGUUGACAUAGAUCCUCGCACCCUUCCUACUGCAAAAGCUUCCCCUGAGACACAGCACCGGAAGAGAAACUCACUCCCCCUAGGCCAGGCAAGCCAGCAGGCCAUGAGCUGGUCAUGUUUCCAGGAGCCAUUUCUUCAUCCUUAAUCCUACCCCCUCCGGACUCUUUUAUGGAUGUGGGCAUCUCCUUUGGUGAGAGUUUCCCUGCCUUUGGUGCUCUGGGUGCUGUCGGCCUCAAUGUCCCUCCCUGCCACUUGAUCCUGUUGCUGAGAAACGCCAGGGCAAAUCUCAGGCCUUGUGAACUUGAAGAAAUCUUCAGAAGUGAACUGAGGCCUUCUGCCCCUCCUUGGUCUAAUGCCCUGGGGUCUGGACCACAGGUUGAGGGAAGUGAAUUCCUUAAGUGAUCAUGGGCCACCUCCAUAGCCUACCCUCCCACCACCUGCCACCUCCUUUACCUGGAAGUCACAAUAGCUUAGGAACAUCACGUUCUGAGGAUUUAAGUCAGGUCUGCAUUUUCAUAGGUUGGUAACUCUCUUUUGCUUCCCCAGGUCAGGGACAUUCUGACAACUCACCCAGCAAGGUAAGCACAGCCAGUUUCACCAGCUCAUUUUCUCAUGGAAAUAUCUCUGUGUAGAAUGGGUUAUUCAUGAAGACAAUAUAAGAUCCACUCUGGGUCAAAGUUCCUCACUUCAGAACAAACAAAGAAGUAUUGGUUAAUUACUUCCACGGGUCUACAUCACUGCAAGAAUGUGGACUUGAAUCCUAGCCAUGACCUUGGAUUGACGAAGUUGCAUAUUCUUCCCUGAACUUCAAUGUCCAGGAAUCAAAGAAACCAACUUCAGCCUCUCCAUCCUUAACAGCCUCAGAAACGGUUUAUUCAGAAGUGAAAAAGAAGUGAUGCAACCAGUCCUGCUCUCUGUACUGCUGACUUAUUCCAAGCUCCUCCUCCCCAUCCCUAGGAGAUCCCUUUACCCUCAGGGAAAAUGGGAGGAGUGUCUUCCCCACCCUCCCUCCCUUAACCCCCUAAUGAGGCUCCUCCAGGCUGCCUGGUCACAGCCCCUUACUUCAGUUUUAAGAGAUGAAAAGGUACAUCCAGGAGGAGGUCUGCAGGAAACAGACCUUUGUCACUGAAAUUUGGCAAAGCAGACCUUGGGAGAGGUUGCCAGAACCUCUGCUCCUCCCCUUUUCCUGACCUAGACUGCUUUUAAACUUGCCUAUUCGGAACACAUUUAUCCCUUCCCACCUCUCCUGUCCCACUGGAGUCUAAUUUCAAUUUGCCAUAACCUGGAGAAUUAUGCACUGAAACACAUGUGCCAGAAAAGGAGAGAAAUAGCAAAAGGAAAAGCUCCUCCUAGCUCUCUGAAGUCCAGUGUGAACCCACCAUUCACAGGAAAAUACAAAUAUAACCAAUUCUGAACUGGGAAAUUCUAUACCUUCAUCCACUUUUAGGGUUGUCUACCUGCAGGACCAAGGCCUGAGCAACCUACUACUUAGCUAGAAUAACACCUAAACCCUUUGAAAGCCUGUCUUCAGAAAACCUACCAGAGCAUCUAGAAAACAACUUCUCAAAAGUCCAUAUGUGAUUCCUGAUGGAAAAAAACGCACAUACUGUUUUUAAUAACUUUAUGGGCUGUAUUCAAGAAAAUGCCCUUGGAGGGAGAGGUUAUCGCUUUAGAGGAAAAAUCAGCUCUUAACAGAGACAGUCUGCUGAGUUUGGGGAGAGGAAUCAGAUAGCUACCCUUCAGAGAUUAUCUAAAUAAUGGUUAAGGAAUGCACAACUUGGGGUAUUGGGGUUUUUUCCCUUCCUUCUGAGACAUUCCACCACUUUAAUUUUUGUAACUGCUUGUUUAUGUGAAAGGGGUUAUGUUUACUUAAUUUGCUGCAUAAGCCAAUCUGACUGCCUUAGGUGACAGAAGCCAUCAAAACCCCUCAAAUCCCUCUGCCCAGGAGCUCCUCAAGGCUUUUAUGUCAGGGGCUCCACAUAAAAAGAAGAAGAAGCAGUUUUCUACAUCAAUGGCUAGAAAUGGGUCUCACUCAGUUUCUAGGCAUCUCAGACCAAUCAUCAACACCAUUCUAUUCCAUGUUUCCACCUGUGCACAUUCCAUCUGUCUGCCCCACUCACCUUCUCAGGAAACCUGGGCCUCUGCUAAGGUGUGUUUGGUCCUUGAGAAGCAGGAGUGCCCUAAAGAGAACACUACCACUCAUGCUGUUGGCAUUGUUUACAACCUAGAAAGCAGCACUGGUGCUGAUCCUCCUUAGGACAUAAGGGGAGGAUUAUAACUCAGCCCUAGGCUUCUUGAAAGCGUCCGAAAUUUGUUUUCUCCCACAGGGUCUAUGAGACCCAAUGUGUCAGCAUAAAAAGGAAGGGCAGGAGAAGGAGAGGCACAUCUACUUCCCACUCAGCCUUCUUCUGCACAGAUGGAACCUCCUUGGGGCUGCUGAGAGAAGAGUUUUAUUCCACAUUCGUUACUUGAUCUCAUGCUGUGUCUAAGAGGCCCCCUCAAAGAGGGUUGGUUGGGAGCUCUCUGUACUCAGGUACCUCUUCAGGGUUUUCCAUCCCUGACACUCUGUAUAUAACUCCCCUCAUCCACCCUGUUCUGUUAUUUAAUUUUGCCUGGCUAAGGCUGCUUCUGAAUUAUUUGUAAAAUUUGCUCUAUAUUUAUAAUAAAAAUUAUAUACCAGACAUCAA
RNA transcript from Camelus dromedarius (Arabian camel), 4842 nucleotides. It is a transcript of the gene named CEA cell adhesion molecule 1, with no coding region annotated. The transcript is spliced from 6 exons. Lineage: Eukaryota; Metazoa; Chordata; Mammalia; Artiodactyla; Camelidae. The record is from RefSeq and is a predicted model, not a curated record.